Molecule: long non-coding RNA, 335 nt
Organism: Gigantopelta aegis
Lineage: Eukaryota; Metazoa; Mollusca; Gastropoda; Neomphalida; Peltospiridae
Exons: 3
Source: RefSeq, a predicted model, not a curated record
GUUUUUCAGCAGGAAGUACCUACACGGAGCUGGGUCAGGAAGAUCCGAAUUUCGUCCACUUAGACGACAGAUAUAAAUGUUGUUACUGCAAACAUGUUCUUCGCAAUUCAAUGCAAACAAGAUGUGGACAUCGUCUGUGUGAGAAGUGUGUUGGCGAAAUCUUUGCCAGCGGAGAACCAGUCGACUGUCCAGCUGCCGAAGAAGACUGUGAACGCCUAAAACGAAAUGAUAUUUAUCCGGAUAAAAGUGUCCGGAGAGAAAUCCGGAACCUGUCUGUUCAUUGCAAGAAUUCCAAUGUAGGAUGUGUUUUUGUUGCACCCUGGAAAGAUAUUGAG